GACGAACGCUGGCGGCGUGCCUAAUACAUGCAAGUAGAACGCUGAAGGAGGAGCUUGCUUCUCUGGAUGAGUUGCGAACGGGUGAGUAACGCGUAGGUAACCUGCCUGGUAGCGGGGGAUAACUAUUGGAAUCGAUAGCUAAUACCGCAUAAGAGUAGAUGUUGCAUGACAUUUGCUUAAAAGGUGCAAAUGCAUCACUACCAGAUGGACCUGCGUUGUAUUAGCUAGUUGGUGGGGUAACGGCUCACCAAGGCGACGAUACAUAGCCGACCUGAGAGGGUGAUCGGCCACACUGGGACUGAGACACGGCCCAGACUCCUACGGGAGGCAGCAGUAGGGAAUCUUCGGCAAUGGACGGAAGUCUGACCGAGCAACGCCGCGUGAGUGAAGAAGGUUUUCGGAUCGUAAAGCUCUGUUGUAAGAGAAGAACGAGUGUGAGAGUGGAAAGUUCACACUGUGACGGUAUCUUACCAGAAAGGGACGGCUAACUACGUGCCAACAGCCGCGGUAAUACGUAGGUCCCGAGCGUUGUCCGGAUUUAUUGGGCGUAAAGCGAGCGCAGGCGGUUAGAUAAGUCUGAAGUUAAAGGCUGUGGCUUAACCAUAGUAGGCUUUGGAAACUGUUUAACUUGAGUGCAAGAGGGGAGAGUGGAAUUCCAUGUGUAGCGGUGAAAUGCGUAGAUAUAUGGAGGAACACCGGUGGCGAAAGCGGCUCUCUGGCUUGUAACUGACGCUGAGGCUCGAAAGCGUGGGGAGCAAACAGG
Molecule: ribosomal RNA, 763 nt
Filed under: uncultured Streptococcus sp.
Lineage: Bacteria; Bacillati; Bacillota; Bacilli; Lactobacillales; Streptococcaceae
Description: bacterial SSU rRNA
Rfam family: Bacterial small subunit ribosomal RNA
Source: RNAcentral